CUGGCUCUCAGUGCAGUGGAUGCACUCAGGAAAGACAGAUGAUGAACCAGAUAUAUUCAGAAUCACACUGGCCAGAUCUAUCAACUGGAAAUUGCUUUGGUUCAAUUCAGUGCUCUGUUCCUGAAAUUUUUGAGAUGAAGAAUUUGGCAAGACUACCAUCCACUAAACAGUUGUCAGCAAAACCAGGGCUGUGAAAUGCUCCUUUUCAGUUGUUAUCCAGGUUAUCCCUAGCCACCAAGACCUGCCAUCUGUCUUCCUCCUGAUGCAAGGAGGGUGGAAGAAUCUUGGGUGGUCCUGUCUGGAGGCCAUGUGUCACUUUCAACUAAGGAUAUUCUGUGACUCAAUGAUAAGACAAUGUCACUGUAAAUAUGUCUUUAUGCUGAUAUUUUUACUUAAUAUUCAGUCCAAACAAAGGUUUCUCACCUUUAAUUUUCUAUCCACCCAACCAAUGUUAGAAAUUCAUAAUAUCAUUCAGGUACUUCAUAAAUGAAGUUAGAUAAUUUAAAUUUAAAAGCUCUUCAAUAUCUGUGACUGUUUAUUUCUACUUAUUUCUCUUCCUAAGUCAAGAAAUUCUGUUUCAAAAAUUUAGAUUUUGUAGUGAAAAUACAAGCAGGACACUGUUUAAUGUAUUCCCUGGUCUUCUAACAACAUUUAGAUAACUUACAGCAUAGAAUAAUGGUGUUCUAAGGCAGUAAUGCUAUUAAGGGACUUAGAUAUUGCUCUCAUGAAACCCAUGUGUCUUGUUUGUUUUACUUUUCUUGUAUUUUGUUCCUGGGAAGAGAGAAGAAUUGUGAUGGUAGCAACAGUCACCGUACAAAAAAUGCCUGUAAGGGAACACUUGUUCAGUAGAGAAGCACGUUGCAGUCUUUUUAAUUAAAUGAAAGAUACAGGCUAAAAUAAUAAGAAUAAUGAAUAAUAAAAGAAAAAUAAAGCAACAUAGGUAUAAGUUAGAUAUUUUCCUAAUUAGAAAUGAACAGAACAGAAAUAUAUAUAUUCUAUGCAAAAUACUCCUUUUCAGCUCUUAGUGUUCUCUUUGCCCUCUGAUUAGUUAUAAAUGCUGGGUCAGGGCUGUACACAGUUUAACAGUUUAACAUAACUAUAUUUUUUUAAAAUGGUUGAAAGGCUCUGUUUAUAUUUGUAUGGACCAUUCUGUUUGUGCAACUGCAACCAAAUCUGAGCUUCCAUUUCUUUCCUAACAGUUCUUUCACUUAGUUACAUUUCCCUUGAAUAUAAUUUCAAAGGCUGACACAAAGAAAAAACUGACAGCAUCAUCCCCCUGCAAGGAAGGUUUUGAUUGAUUCUAGUCUUCUCUACAAGUCUUUGAUUUUUAUGACUCUAUGAACCUUCAGAACAGACUAAAAAGGAAGAUAAUAAUUUAAGAAAUUCUAUGUAUACAUAUGUAUUUUAACAUAUUGUAAAAUGUAUUGUUAAAAUGUAUUUAUUCAAUUGUGUUUACUUUUCCCAAGUUGUUUUGUUUCAUUUUUUCUGCCAGUAUUUUUUUUUUUUUUUUUGGUAAUAUAUGCUUUUAUCAUCAAGGUAGCAUAAGAAAAAAUAUUGAAUAUAAAAUAACAUGUAACUCUAAUGCAGGAUCAUACUUGGGGAGAGAGAAAAAUAAUUUUAUCUGAUUAGUCUCACUUUUUUUUUUUUUUUUGACAGCUUGAGAUGAAUGUCAGUCCAGCAGAAUACCUGAAUGUGUGCUUCACUGCAAUGUUUCAUAGAGUGAUGUCAGAAGUUGCUUAGAGCUAAGUGCUUUGUCUUGAUGCAGUGAAGCAGAUAAACCUGUGUUCAGCGUUAUGCAGAACAGUAACUAACUAGGGACACAUCUUAAUUCAUUUCCCACAGCAUAGCGUCGGAGAAGAAAGAGAUAUUUAGUGACUGGAAGAUCAGUAGGCCUUGUACAGUGAGGACAAGUGCUCCAAAAAAAAAUAUAUAUAUAUAUAGAAAUAAAUUUUUAUACUUUAUUGGUAUGCAGAGGAGAUAGAAGUCUUCUGAACAAAGAGAUAGAAAACAGACAGUUAGAAGGAGUGCAAUCUUUUGAUCUUAUUGUUUAUAUGAAUAAACAAUCAAAACUGGCUAUGAACAGUUCUAUGAACUGUUUGCAGGCAAUUUAUAAUCCAAAAGAUACGUGAAAAAUUUCAGUUGCUUAUCAAUGAUGUAUUUACUUUCAUAAGGCUAGUUCCUUUUCCACCAAUGUUCUCUAUAAGUAUAAUUGUUUAUUAUUCAUUCAUAUUAAUAAUAUUUAUUUUUGAUUUUUGGUCAUAAAAUAUAUUAACGUGAAGUCUUCAGAAAUAUAAUUCAAGUUAUUUGUCACAGAAAUAUAAUUCAAGUUAUUUGUCACAGAAAUAUGUUAAAGUAUGUUAAAUGCAUAGAAGGAAUUAAUAAAAAAAAGAAGCUACUAACAUGAUUGACAGUAGGUCUUUGGCGGAUUCUUAUUCAGUGCCUGCUGCAUAUACAUAGCAUCUAAACACAUAAUCAUAGAAUCAUAGAAUGAUUUGGGUUGGAAGGGACCUUUAAGAUCAUCUAGUUCCAACCCCUUGCUAUAGGCAGGGAUACCUUCCCCUAUACCAGGUUGCUCAAAGCUUCAUCCAGUUCCAAUGAAAUCUCUGUAACAUAAAGCAGCGGAGAAGUUGGGCCCUUGAAGUCCUUUAAAAUUUGCCUGAAAUUAAUUUGAAAAUCUAAAGCAACUGCUGUUCCAGUUCAAGAACAGAUAUUUGUAUAAUAAAAGAUAAGGAAGUGUAAAUCCUAAAAAUUUAGUGGAAGGCAAAUAUUUUUACACAUUGAGGUUGUAAAAGGAGGAAACACUACGAUAUAAGCUAUUAUGUACAUUUUAACAUUUCUAUAUGUAAAGGUUACAAGGUUUCUUGUGCUUCAUGUGAUAUUAUAGUUGUAGUUAGGCUUUAGGCUUACUCAAAUCACACAGAGCCAAGCCAGAGUUCACAAUCUCCAUAUGGCUCCAACAGUUGCACUAUGUUGUGCAAAUAGUGGUGAAGCAAUGUAUCCUUUCUUUCCUCUGCAAAGAAGGAACCUUAACAGAGCAAAAGCAUCUCUUAAUUCCUGACUAUGAUCAGUAUGUGAUCCUCUGUAUCUUUUGAAACAGGAAGAGUACGCUACAUCUAUCAGCCAUGCAUGUAAUGCUAGUACAUUAUUAUUAGAAAACAAGAAAGUUUGACCAUUAGAUGAAUAUUUAUUGUUCUUCUUUUAUAUUUUGCAUGAGUGCAUUCUCUCUGGAGAUGAAGGAGUAGAUUUUCCUGUAUGUACCCCAGAAGAAAUUUCAGUUUUCAGCUGGGCUGGUCUGUUAUGAUACACUUCUGCUAAGCUGAUUUUGAAAUGUAUCUGGCAGAAAAUGAGUGCUGAUGACCAUUUACUCCUUUUCAGUCUUUAAAAUCUACACGACUGCAAAAGCUUUGCUUUUAUUGGAUGAGAUUUUCAUAGGAUGUCCUUACUCAACAAAAGAGAGUAGUCCAAAGAAACAUAAAAGAAAAAAGUAAGAAGAGUACCACAACCAUCAAUUACAUUAUCAGCAUCUUCUUUCUACAUAGACCUCAAGGAUUUUGAACUAGAUUGUCCAGCACUUCAGCAAUCUAGAAAGUUUAUUGGGGAAAAAAUGAAGUAAUUUUUAAGAUUGGAAAUGUCCCAUUUGUACCAUUUAUGUGCUUAUCUUGAUUUUUAAUUCUGAGUGGAUACAUUUAUGUUCCACAUAAAUAAAGAAUGCUGUUUGUCUUAAAGAACUGAUUGAAAUAGAACUGUGGUUUCAUGUGUUUUGUUGUUGUUGUUGUUCUUGUUCUUGUUGUUCUUGUUGUUUGUUUGUUUUGUUUUGUUUUUGUACUGUAAAUCUUGGCAGUAUUUUAAAAUUAUAAUGUUGCCUAAAAUACAAAUUUGCCCCUGAAUAACAUACUUACC
Molecule: long non-coding RNA, 3900 nt
Filed under: Gallus gallus (chicken)
Lineage: Eukaryota; Metazoa; Chordata; Aves; Galliformes; Phasianidae
Description: lncRNA (ENSGALG00010015741.1)
Source: RNAcentral